GCAACGCGAAGAACCUUACCAGGUCUUGACAUCCUUUGACCACUCUAGAGAUAGAGCUUCCCCUUCGGGGGCAAAGUGACAGGUGGUGCAUGGUUGUCGUCAGCUCGUGUCGUGAGAUGUUGGGUUAAGUCCCGCAACGAGCGCAACCCUUAUUGUUAGUUGCCAUCAUUUAGUUGGGCACUCUAGCGAGACUGCCGGUGACAAACCGGAGGAAGGUGGGGAUGACGUCAAAUCAUCAUGCCCCUUAUGACCUGGGCUACACACGUGCUACAAUGGGAAGUACAACGAGUUGCGAAGUCGCGAGGCUAAGCUAAUCUCUUAAAGCUUCUCUCAGUUCGGAUUGUAGGCUGCAACUCGCCUACAUGAAGCCGGAAUCGCUAGUAAUCGCGGAUCAGCACGCCGCGGUGAAUACGUUCCCGGGCCUUGUACACACCGCCCGUCACACCACGAGAGUUUGUAACACCCGAAGUCGGUGAGGUAACCUUUUUGGAGCCAGCCGCCUAAGGUGGGAUAGAUGAUUGGGGUGAAGUCGUAACAAGGUAGCCGUAUCGGAAGGUGCGGCUGGAUCACCUCCUUUCUAAGGAA
RNAcentral lists this ribosomal RNA (585 nucleotides) under Escherichia coli. RNAcentral describes it as "bacterial SSU rRNA". It matches the Rfam family "Bacterial small subunit ribosomal RNA", at positions 956 to 1533 of the family's 1533-position model. The record is from RNAcentral. Lineage: Bacteria; Pseudomonadati; Pseudomonadota; Gammaproteobacteria; Enterobacterales; Enterobacteriaceae.